RNAcentral lists this non-coding RNA (314 nucleotides) under Larimichthys crocea (large yellow croaker). Its description in RNAcentral is "Eukaryotic small subunit ribosomal RNA". It matches the Rfam family "Eukaryotic small subunit ribosomal RNA", at positions 1189 to 1404 of the family's 1831-position model. Lineage: Eukaryota; Metazoa; Chordata; Actinopteri; Sciaenidae. The record is from Rfam by way of RNAcentral.
CUUAAUUUAACUCAACACGGGAAACCUCACCCGGCCCGGACACGGAAAGGAUCGACAGAUUGAUAGCUCUUUCUUGAUUCUGUGGGUGGUGGUGUAUGGCCGUUCUUAGUUGGUGGAGCGAUUUGUCUGGUUAAUUCCGAUAACGAACGAGACUCCGGCAUACUAACUAGCUCUUGCGGUUGGCUCCGGAUAACCAGCCUCGGUCGGUGAGCCGUUCGUGACAGGGCUGGGGUGCGGCCCCUCUCCUAUCUUGCACCGCAUGUUUGUGGAGAACCUGGUGCUAAAUCACUUUCAGACGACCUCAUUCUGGGUCG